Molecule: ribosomal RNA, 403 nt
Filed under: bacterium
Lineage: Bacteria
Also listed under: 1 other name
Description: partial 16S ribosomal RNA
Rfam family: Bacterial small subunit ribosomal RNA
Source: RNAcentral
UGGGGAAUAUUGCACAAUGGAGGGAACUCUGAUGCAGCGACGCCGCGUGAACGAAGAAGGCUUUCGAGUCGUAAAGUUCUUUUAUAUGGGAAGAUAAUGACGGUACCAUAAGAAAAAGCCCCGGCUAACUACGUGCCAGCAGCCGCGGUAAUACGUAGGGGGCUAGCGUUGUCCAGAAUCACUGGGCGUAAAGGGUUCGCAGGCGGAAAUGCAAGUCAGGUGUAAAAGGCAGUAGCUUAACUACUGUAAGCAUUUGAAACUGCAUAUCUUGAGAAGAGUAGAGGUAAGUGGAAUUUUUAGUGUAGCGGUGAAAUGCGUAGAUAUUAAAAAGAAUACCGGUGGCGAAGGCGACUUACUGGGCUCAUUCUGACGCUGAGGAACGAAAGCGUGGGUAGCAAACAGG